RNAcentral lists this transfer RNA (73 nucleotides) under Petromyzon marinus (sea lamprey). Its description in RNAcentral is "tRNA-Phe (GAA) (tRNA-Phe-GAA-10-1, tRNA-Phe-GAA-10-2)". It matches the Rfam family "tRNA". From Rfam's summary of the family: Transfer RNA (tRNA) molecules are approximately 80 nucleotides in length. Lineage: Eukaryota; Metazoa; Chordata; Hyperoartia; Petromyzontiformes; Petromyzontidae. The record is from RNAcentral.
GCCGAAAUUCCUCAGUUGGGAGAGCGUUAGACUGAAGAUCUAAAGGUCCCUGGUUCAAUCCCGGGUUUUGGCA